This 1463-nucleotide long non-coding RNA is filed under the name Oryza sativa (Asian cultivated rice). RNAcentral's name for it is "long non-coding RNA (OSAT_LNC000074)". Lineage: Eukaryota; Viridiplantae; Streptophyta; Magnoliopsida; Poales; Poaceae. The record is from RNAcentral.
UCACUGCUAGCCUUGUCCUCCACAUCGAGCCCGUCCUCCACUGUCUAAGCCCCAUGCUGGGGCUCGAUGCCGGCGACCGCGUCCUCUGUUGUCACGCCCCACGCCAGGGCUGGUCGCCGGUGGCUGCGUCUUCCCACGCCCCACGCCGAGGCUCGUUAGUCCCAUGCCGGAACUCAUCACCCGUGGUGCUGCAUAUCUUCUCCGGUGAUGUGCUCCCCGACGAAGCAGUGAGGCGAGGCAGCGGGGGCCUUCUCCAGUGAGCUCCCUUCUCUCCCUUCUUCCUCCGCUGCCGCAUGCCCGAUGCCAGUGCUGCUCCGUUGCCGCAUGCCUGCGCUGCUCCGUUGCCGCAUGCCUACGCUUGUGCUCUAGGGAAUGAGGGAGACGAUACCGUCGCGGGUGCUAGGCGCGGGAUACCAGUAUCUAGCUUUUCCAAAUUGCUAAUCUGAAAAUACUAUAGAACAGUCUCCCGUCCGAACAUGCAUGUGACUAAAUAAUCAUCUACUUAAACAUCUUAUCCAUGUCAGUAUACCACGUAUUUGGUCUUAUCCUAUCCCUGUAUUUCUUCUUCCCCUCCCCCCCUCUCUCCAUCUCCCUCCCUCCCUCUCUCCCCCCCUUCCCCCUCUCACCCUCAUGGCUCAUGGGCGGUGAGCACCAUGUGGUCAUCAGUCCGUGUGGUCAACAACGACUUGUGUGCUGUUGUGGAAAACCAACUCAACUCGAGGUGAAGAAAUCGCAGGGGCCAUUCUUGAGGCUUUUUUGAGGUGGUGGCGAAUCGGAUUGGCAAGUUUUUUUUGUUGGUUUUUCGUGUGGUUUUUAAGCAUUUUUUAGAGGUGAUUUCUCAGGCUAGUUUUGCUCAUUGAUUUGAGUUAGCUAGUCAUAUUGAAGGACUUUGCGUGCUUUUUCCUACGCUUGAUUGCUUGUUUUUAGGGGCAAUGGGAAUAUGUAGGAAUUUUCUGGCUAUGGGAGUAGUUUGUUGUUAUUUUUUAUUAGAUUUUUCCUAGAAUUGAAAUUAUUUCUAUUGAUUUUCCUUGAAUUAUCUCUUGGUACAUUGUGUUUUACGCGUAGUUGGUUAGUUGCUUAUGCAGGUAGAGAAAAGAGAAGGGUUUAUUAAAGUGUAGCUUUCUAACUAUAUAUCUUGUACUGUAGACUGUAGCAGUCCUCUUGCUAAUUACGCGUGCGCAAGAGAGGGACGGGCGCCGGCGCUGCGCAGGAAAUUUUACAUAACGCCCAAAAAUGGAUGAGUGGCUGCCGACGCCAUAUAUCACACACAAGUUGUAUUUUUCUAAGCUUUUAUUAUAUCAAAAUAGUAAAGUUUUUGAACAUAUAUGAUCACGUAAAAGAGCAAUCGUCCAUCAGUGCUUCCAGUUUUUCUUCCAGACGUUUCUUUUUUUUUUGUUGGCUUCAAAACAAAUUAAGCCGGAAGAAACCUUUUUAGUUUAUUUUAAGAAACAAAAUCUCUUCAG